This 452-nucleotide ribosomal RNA is filed under the name Dendronotus kalikal. RNAcentral describes it as "partial 16S ribosomal RNA". It matches the Rfam family "Archaeal large subunit ribosomal RNA", at positions 1905 to 2672 of the family's 2987-position model. Lineage: Eukaryota; Metazoa; Mollusca; Gastropoda; Nudibranchia; Dendronotidae. The record is from RNAcentral.
ACAUAGCCACAAGUUAACAUUUGUGGUCUAACCUGCCCAAUGUGCAAUUAAAAAGAUGAAUGGCCGCGGUACCCUGACCGUGCUAAGGUAGCGUAAUCAGUUGGCUUUUAAAUGGAGUCAGGAAUGAAUGGAAUAACCGGGUUUAGCUGUCUCCUUCCUAAUUAGUUGAAUUUACUAUUCAAGUGAAAAAGCUUGAAGAAAGAAAAGGGACGAGAAGACCCUUAGAAUUUUCUUUAGUGGGAAAAUUUUUUCCUAAUGAUUUUGUUGGGGCGACAUGGAAAUAUAUGAAAACUUUCCUUUAAUACUUGCCGAUUUUGUUAAGUCAGGAUAAAUUACCUGAGGGAUAACAGCAUAAUUCUAUAGAUGAGUUUGUGACCUCGAUGUUGGACUAGGGAACUAGCAAGCUAGCCGUUUGCUGUGUGGGUUCUGUUCGAACUGUAAUCCCUACGUGA